Molecule: unclassified non-coding RNA, 200 nt
Filed under: soil metagenome
Description: partial contains internal transcribed spacer 2 and large subunit ribosomal RNA
Source: RNAcentral
GGAUGCUGAGUGCUGCUGGAAUUUUAGUGUUCAGCUCGCUUUAAAUUUAUGGGCAGGCUCCUACCUUUUCGGACUGACUCAACGUAAUAAGAAAUUUCGUUGAGGACGCCUCAGAGCGGCCGAAUUGUAGGGAAGUGCCGCCACUAGUUGACCCUUGUAUCUUAGACCUCAAAUCAGGUGGGACUACCCGCUGAACUUAA